RNAcentral lists this long non-coding RNA (506 nucleotides) under Helianthus annuus (common sunflower). RNAcentral's name for it is "hypothetical non coding rna". The record is from RNAcentral. Lineage: Eukaryota; Viridiplantae; Streptophyta; Magnoliopsida; Asterales; Asteraceae.
GGACGACGACGACGACGACGACGACGACGACGACGACGACGACGACGACGACGACGACGACGACGACGACGACGACGACGACGACGACGACGACGACGACGACGACGACGACGACGACGACGACGACGACGACGACGACGACGACGACGACGACGACGACGACGACGACGACGACGACGACGACGACGACGACGACGACGACGACGACGACGACGACGACGACGACGACGACGACGACGACGACGACGACGACGACGACGACGACGACGACGACGACGACGACGACGACGACGACGACGACGACGACGACGACGACGACGACGACGACGACGACGACGACGACGACGACGACGACGACGACGACGACGACGACGACGACGACGACGACGACGACGACGACGACGACGACGACGACGACGACGACGACGACGACGACGACGACGACGACGACGACGACGACGACGACGACGACGACGACGACGACGACGACGACGACGACGACGACG